RNAcentral lists this ribosomal RNA (236 nucleotides) under uncultured bacterium. Its description in RNAcentral is "partial 16S ribosomal RNA". It matches the Rfam family "Bacterial small subunit ribosomal RNA", at positions 1254 to 1482 of the family's 1533-position model. The record is from RNAcentral.
CCCGCGAGGGGGGGAGCUAAUCCCCAUAAAAACCAUUCGUAGUCCGGAUCGCAGUCUGCAACUCGACUGCGUGAAGUCGGAAUCGCUAGUAAUUCGCGGAUCAGAAUGUCGCCGGUGAAUACGUUCCCGGGUCUUGUACACACCCGCCCGUCACACCAUGGGAGCGGGUUCUGCCAGAAGUAGUUAGCCUAACCGCAAGGAGGGCGAUUACCACGGCAGGGUUCGUGACUGGGGUG